CUUUCUCCCGCCGCUUCUCCUCCACCGUGGCCCCCUACCAACGAUUUCUCUCCUUUCCUCUCUCUCUACGUUCGUUCGACGACGUCUUCGCGCGCGGAAGACAGCGAGAGAGAGAAAGAGAGGAAGUUCAUGCGUGCGGCCGGAGCGACGGAGAAACGGACAGAGAAAGAUGAAAGCCUCUUCGCUAGCGAUAGGAUUAACUCGACGCGCAGAAUCUUCGUUACCUACUCAACUUUUUUGAGGUUAGGAUCUUAGACGCGAUCUUUUUUGACCGCUGGAGGCCAUAUUUUUUAACCGUCAUAGAUCUUGAGAAGUUGUAAUACAAGAAAAGAAGGAAUAUUUGUGUAUUAAUACGUAUUUGUAGUGUUAUCCUUGAAGAGGUUAAUUCAUAACUGGUCAUUCUGGCGCGAUGAACGUGCAACAAAUUUUCUGAAAUUUAUAGGUAAAUUAAAGCAGUGGAAAAGAAUGAUAUUGCGAAAUGUAUUUAUUGCUGCAUCUGAAAACUAGUUGAGUUGUAUUCUUUAUAUAGGUAAAGUUAUUGAGACUAAUAGUGGAUAUACUACCAGUUUAAUUUGAAUUACGUGAUUCGUUUAAUUAAAGCUGUCGUUAGCGUUUAUGGGAAAAGCAUCAGUUGAAAUAAAUAAUUGGUAGCAGAUAAUUAUAGAUGUAGUAUCUACAUAUGUAAGAAUGUACAUACAUAUUCAUUAUAAAAUAUGAGGUACAUAUGGUACAGUGUGAAUCAUGAUUUGAAACAUAUAAGUUUGUGAUUUAUAAAUGUAAAAUUUACUUGUUAAGUAAAG
This is a long non-coding RNA of Megachile rotundata (alfalfa leafcutting bee), 800 nucleotides long. RefSeq lists it as uncharacterized. The record is from RefSeq and is a predicted model, not a curated record. Lineage: Eukaryota; Metazoa; Arthropoda; Insecta; Hymenoptera; Megachilidae.